Molecule: RNA transcript, 1197 nt
Organism: Gordionus sp. m RMFG-2023
Lineage: Eukaryota; Metazoa; Nematomorpha; Gordioida; Chordodea; Parachordodidae
Exons: 2
Source: RefSeq, a predicted model, not a curated record
AUAAAAAAUGUAAAAAUUUUAAAAUAUAUUAUAUAAAAUUAAAUUAAUAAUUUGAAAUAAAAUAAAUAAUAUUUUAGAAAACUUUAUGGUGGCAGCUCCGCUACAUAUUCGAGGAUAUCGUAAAUAAAUAAAUAAAUAUGAAACAGAUUCCCAAUAAUAUUAAAAUAAAUAUUGAAUUUCCAAUAUACUCAGGCAAUGGCGAUCUUUUUUUGAGAAGAUUCGAAGACAUCUUCAAGGACACUCAGAUCUCGGACAUCGAAAAAGCAGGUUCCUUUACAAGAAGACUACCAAAUGAGGUAUAUAUCAAGUUUAAAUCGAUAUGUUCACCUACCGACUUCAUCAAUCCAUCGAUAUUGAUUGAAAAAUUCAGGUUAUUACACCCGAGGAAAUCUACAAGUUCCAACUUAUUAUUAUUUAACGCAGCUGUACAAGGUAAAAACGAAAGUUACAUCAAUUGGAAGAUGAUACAACCGUGAAACAUGUAGAAAGGCAAAGAGGCAGGAAAACAGAAGAAUAAACAAUUGGUGAGAUAUGGAGACCAUGAUGAACGACAAAAUUUACAAUCUAAUUACGAUAACAUACAACGAUGGACAAUAAGAGGCCAUGACUUUCAAAGAAAUAUUUAUCAAGAAAAUAGUUAAAACCCUCAACAAAAGUUUAUUCCUGAUAAAAUACGCUUUUUGGGACAUGAUAACAAACAUGGUAUACAUCCCAACGUUGAUAAGAUAAAAGCUAUUUCUAACAUGCCGGAACCGAAGACAAAAGAUGAAUUGACAACAUUUUUGGGGAUGGCGAGCUAUUAUCGAAAGUUUUAAGUAAUUUUGCGGACGUAGCUGAUUCUUUAUACAAAAUGGUUAAUAAAGACAAAUUGUUAUGGGAUAAUACACAUCAAGAAAGCUUCGACGACCUAAAAAAUAUGAUAAAUACUCCGCCUCCGGAUCUACCAAUAGGCAUUGCAACUGAUGUUUCAAAGAAAGGUCUAGCAGUCUUAUUUCAUAUUGAUGGUGAUAGUAAAGAGAAACCCAUUGCUUUUGCGUCAAGAGCUUUACUGAAAUCAGAGUUUAAUUACACUAAUAUAGAGAGGGAAGUUUUAUCUGUUAUAUACGCGGUAAAAAAGUUUCAAGAAUAUUUAAUUGGGAAUUUAAAAAAAAUUAAAUUAUUAUUUUAGAGUAAUAAAAUAUAACAAAAUAUGAGUUA